This 1110-nucleotide ribosomal RNA is filed under the name Triticum aestivum (bread wheat). RNAcentral's name for it is "partial small subunit ribosomal RNA". The record is from RNAcentral. Lineage: Eukaryota; Viridiplantae; Streptophyta; Magnoliopsida; Poales; Poaceae.
AUGAGGGAUAUCACAUUUGUAAUGAUUUUUCUUAAUGGGGGUGAUGAUGAAAUUGACGUAGGUCUCAUGGGUAUUCCUCUAGGAAGAUAUGACAGCAAGAACAACAGGGUGAUAUGGACCUUCAACAGAAGCUGCCUGAGCAUGCAUCACGACCAUUCCGAGGUAGCAAAAAAGCUAACAUAUACUCAGCUUUUCUGUUAUUGCGAUAUCAAACUAUUGACAAGCUCACAGUUUCUUGGACUGCUACAUCAACAAGCUGCUUCCAUCGUUGCUCGCAACCCCUGUAUGCUGGACAUCAACCCAACAAUUCUUGUAGAUUGCUGUCUCUAUGAGUUAUUCCUGCAUUAUGAUUUCCACACGGCCAGUAAAUUUGAUUGGGUUUCUCAUGAUUCCAACUAUUGGACAUGCGAUGCAAUCAUACAAGGGGACAGAGCAAGGGAUAUUUGUAAUGCAUUCUAUCGAGAGAUAAAUUGGAAGUGUGAUGCUUCUCUGCUUGAGGAUGUUCUUACAGAGUGUAUGAAACAAUUGGAGUGUCCGUUUCUGGUAAUCAAAGAUGAUGAUAUCUAUGAAGAAGGCCCGUACCGUUGGAUUUCAGUCACAUGGAGGAAUACAGAACUUCUUGGUAUGCAAACUAUACCUGCAAUGACAAAAUCUUUCUUCUUGGCCUUUGAAAGAUCUGACCAUCCACAAACUUUACCAAAUGGAUUCUUUGAACAUUCAAGCAAGCUUGGUGUGCUAGUUCUCUGUUGGAUGUUGAUAACUCCUUUACAGAUAAGGCAAGUAUGGAUGCCAUCCGUGGGUGCGCGUGGCAAUGGCGAGAAGAAGCCAGCCGUCGAGAUCGAGAAGGACGUGUGGGACGCUCUGGAGUGGGACGCCGGUCACCGCCCCGACCACUUUGAGGCGCCCAUCCACUCGCGCUACUACAAGGAGAAGUUGCACAGGGUCUCCGUCCUCAGGAGUCUUUGGUCCUUUUUGGCCAACGGUACCUCCCCUGGCGGCGGCGAGGCACGCCUCCCGUCGUGCACACCAGUUAGGCGUGGGCGGAGAGUCAGGUGGCGAGCAAGGAGAAAACCGUACUACUCUGCUUUUUGCAGGAUUUCGAUCGAGUGA